Molecule: ribosomal RNA, 791 nt
Filed under: Sordariomycetes sp.
Lineage: Eukaryota; Fungi; Ascomycota; Sordariomycetes
Description: eukaryotic LSU rRNA
Rfam family: Eukaryotic large subunit ribosomal RNA (bases 335-791)
Source: RNAcentral
AAACUUUCAACAACGGAUCUCUUGGUUCUGGCAUCGAUGAAGAACGCAGCGAAAUGCGAUAAGUAAUGUGAAUUGCAGAAUUCAGUGAAUCAUCGAAUCUUUGAACGCACAUUGCGCCCAUUAGUACUCUAGUGGGCAUGCCUGUUCGAGCGUCAUUACGACCCUUAAGCCUAGCUUAGUAUUGGGAACCUACGUGCGGCAGCUACCCUGUAGCUACCCUGUAGCUCCUUAAAGACAACGGCGGAGACGUGGAGUCCUCUGAGCUUAGUAAACUUUUUCUAGCUUCUGAAGGCGCCGCGGCCCCUGCCGUAAAACCCCCCAACUCUUUAGUGGUUGACCUCGGAUCAGGUAGGAAUACCCGCUGAACUUAAGCAUAUCAAUAAGCGGAGGAAAAGAAACCAACAGGGAUUGCCUUAGUAACGGCGAGUGAAGCGGCAACAGCUCAAAUUUGAAAGCUGGCCUUCGGGUCCGCGUUGUAAUUUGUAGAGGAUGCUUUUGGUUAGGUGCCUUACGAGUUCCCUGGAACGGGACGCCUUAGAGGGUGAGAGCCCCGUACGUUUGGUUACCGAGCCUCUGUAAAGCUCCUUCGACGAGUCGAGUAGUUUGGGAAUGCUGCUCUAAAUGGGAGGUAAAUUUCUUCUAAAGCUAAAUACCGGCCAGAGACCGAUAGCGCACAAGUAGAGUGAUCGAAAGAUGAAAAGCACUUUGAAAAGAGGGUUAAAUAGCACGUGAAAUUGUUGAAAGGGAAGCGUUUAUGACCAGACUUUUUCCUGGCGGAUCAUCCGGUGUUC